UCUCGGCCUUCUGGCUAAGAUCAAGUGUAAAAAUGGAAAUACAUAAAAUAUCCAAGAAAAAUUAAAGAUAUACAUUCAUAAAAAUUUAGUUAUGCAAUACAUUAUUUUGAUGAUGAGCUAAAUCUCAUAAAGACUAAUUGAAAUUGGCUAUGACAUUGCUAUUGCCACUUUGAAUUAACAGAAGAUACUAUUAUCCACUUGAAUCAUUUAAUAUCAAAUUUCUUAACACUCCUUCCUGUGAGUGGACGCAUUAUACCAUCUCUAGAUAUACAUUAUUCAACUUCAACUACACAUGGCACCGAAAGUAUCAAAGCAGGUGAAAAUAAGGAUGAAAACUUUAACAAUUAAUAAAGGGAAAAGUAAACUUAUGCAGCUUCUGGGAGACUGACAUGCAUGUUGCCUCAGAACCUUUGCAGAUAUUUGAGUUUACCCCAAGUCUUCUGAUAUCUCACUGAACACAUUCCUUUAACUCAUCAAAAAUGUUCUUUUGAUGACCAAGCUGAGCAUGAAUAAAUUGUUUCUGUCUCAUCAGUUUUUGCUUUUAUUUUAUAUGUCAUGGGUACCAGGUCUAAUGUAGUUAAUCGUUUCUUUAGAAAAACAAACAUAAUAUCUGAUUAAAUCCAUGGAUAAAUAAUUCUAUAUUUCUCUGUUUUAUGCCUUGGACUAUUUGAAAUAACUCAUGCAUUGCACUACGGUAAUGUGUGUUUCUCAACUGAAAACUACAAGCUAAUACAUGAUGUUGUUUUCAAAAUAUUUUAUGGAAUUUCUUCAGGAAAAUAUAAAACCUAAAUCUCUAUUCUGAAUUUAUUCCAGAAUUCUAUUAGUUGUUUUUGUCAGGGAUUGAAAUAAUCUUCAGUCCUGCUCAGCAACUUUGUCUACUCUCUCUCCCACCAGAAAUAUCUGGAUACUGUUUGCUCACUGAGACUGACAACUAAAACUUUGAGAAAAUUGUAAGGGAAAGAAAAGAAUCUAGCAGAAUAACAGAGUUCGAGAAGUCAUGGAGGAGCAGCGUAUGAACUUGGUGAAUGUUCUUUCUACAGCCCCGUGUGAGAAGAGCAGUUUAACUGUGGAGCUAGAAUGUGUUUACUAAUUGUUUGACACUGGAUGUUCUUUCUGCCCCCAUUAUAAUAAAGUUCCUCUUAUCUGAUGA
Non-coding RNA from Rattus norvegicus (Norway rat), 1150 nucleotides. NCBI's taxonomy places the organism in Eukaryota, Metazoa, Chordata, Mammalia, Rodentia, Muridae. The record is from RefSeq and is a predicted model, not a curated record.